This 253-nucleotide ribosomal RNA is filed under the name uncultured bacterium. RNAcentral's name for it is "partial 16S ribosomal RNA". It matches the Rfam family "Bacterial small subunit ribosomal RNA", at positions 524 to 776 of the family's 1533-position model. The record is from RNAcentral.
UACGGAGGGAGCUAGCGUUGUUCGGAAUUACUGGGCGUAAAGCGCACGUAGGCGGCUUUGUAAGUAAGAGGUGAAAGCCUGGAGCUCAACUCCAGAAUAGCCUUUUAGACUGCAUCGCUUGAAUCCGGGAGAGGUGAGUGGUAUUCCGAGUGUAGAGGUGAAAUUCGUAGAUAUUCGGAAGAACACCAGUGGCGAAGGCGGCUCACUGGACCGGUAUUGACGCUGAGGAACGAAAGCUAGGGGAGCAAACAGG